UCUCUGGUAGUAUAUCGGAUAGUACACCCGCCUGUCACAUCAUAACCAGGUUGCUGUGCGCGGGAAAGCGGGGUUCGAUUCCCCGCCAGAGAG
This is a non-coding RNA of Suillus ampliporus, 93 nucleotides long. The record is from the annotation of a GenBank genome assembly. Lineage: Eukaryota; Fungi; Basidiomycota; Agaricomycetes; Boletales; Suillaceae.